GAUGAACGCUGGCGGCGUGCCUAAUACAUGCAAGUAGAACGCUGAAGACUUUAGCUUGCUAAAGUUGGAAGAGUUGCGAACGGGUGAGUAACGCGUGGGUAACCUGCCUCAUACAGGGGGAUAACAGUUAGAAAUGACUGCUAAUACCGCAUAAGCGCACAGUGCUGCAUGGCACAGUGUGAAAAACUCCGGUGGUAUGAGAUGGACCCGCGUCUGAUUAGCUAGUUGGUGGGGUAACGGCCUACCAAGGCGACGAUCAGUAGCCGGCCUGAGAGGGUGAACGGCCACAUUGGGACUGAGACACGGCCCAG
RNAcentral lists this ribosomal RNA (311 nucleotides) under uncultured bacterium. Its description in RNAcentral is "bacterial SSU rRNA". It matches the Rfam family "Bacterial small subunit ribosomal RNA", at positions 28 to 334 of the family's 1533-position model. The record is from RNAcentral.